GGCCACUUGACUUCGGACUUUUCAUCCUCCAGAAAUGUAAGAAAUAAAUUAUUUUUCUUUAUCAACUACCCAGAAUACUACCCAGUGGUAGUCUGUUAUAGCAACACAAAACAGACUGACACUCGCAGAAUUUCUACAAGAUCUUUUUAAUUUUGCUUCCAUUGCAAUUUCAUUUUGGCUUUUGACCCUUGCAUCUAGAAUAGGCUUGGCCUUGCUCCAGGGAACAUGCCAUCCUGGCCUGACAUACUUCACCUUCCCAACUUCUGUCUUCUUUGUCAACUACCCACUCCGAAGUAUCCCUGACUUGCCUCCCUUGUCUUUGUUUCUCCUAGUGUGUUUUGUUUUGCUUUUUGAUGCAUGGGCCAUGACAGAAAUCUACUGAGGUGAAGGGGAAUUGAGGAGAGACUCAUUGUUUUCAGCAAGAUGGGUAGUUAUUGAGGAGAAAUUAGAAAGCAUCAACUAACUGAAUGUGAUAGGAUCCACAUUCCCACCACACGAAAUGAGACAGAUUUUUAAAUAUGGCUAAGCAGUGUAAGUAUUCAGGCAAAGUCUGACAACUAAAUAUGUAGUGGGCUCUAAUUAGAUGCUUCUUCAUUUGUCUCUAGGAAAAGGACUGAAGAAAACAGACAGUGAGACUGAUCCAAAAACUCCCAUGUAUAUACAAACACAUGAAAAAUGUCACCAAAAUGUUAAUGGCAGUUACGUUACAGUUGCAUCAGGGAUGGGCUUUCAGCGGUGAAGGAAACUCAUGUUGACUGAACACCUUCCCUGGGAUGUGUGGGCUCUUGGAUGAGAACUUUCACAUUUUUCACAAUUUUUAUGUCCACCACCACCCUGUGAGGUAGGUAUCAUUAUUCCCAUUUCACAGAUGAGGAAAGCUGAGGCUCAAAAAUUGAGUCAUUGGUCUAAGAUGUACAGGGUCUAGCAGAGUGCUCGAUAAGUAAUUGUUGAAUGGAUGGACUGCACAGAUCAUGCUCUCCAAUUGGUUGUAUACUUGUGUGAUGCUUUUCCCCAGAGGUCUUUUUACUGUUAAGAGGAUUCUUAUAUAGUUAAGUCUUGGAUCAGUCAUAACUUCCAAAAAUGUGACAGUAAUGAAAAAUGCAAAAAGUGGCUGGACAAGGAAAUGCCUGUGCUACCUUAUUUACCCCAAACAGAAAAGCUACUUAAAAGAUUAUGACUGAUUGGGAAAUGUGAUUUGGUUGGACAAAAGCACUUGAAGCUCUAGUCCCUAACAAUUCCAUCCAGGACCUCCCUGAGAGUCAGAAUUGAUGUGUGGAUUGUUUUAGUUUGGCUGUUAAUAAUAUCUGGAUGAAAAUGCCUGCCAAAACAUUUCACUGGGGGAUUUAGAAUAUGCUUUCCAAGUCUACAACUGAAG
This 1375-nucleotide long non-coding RNA is filed under the name Macaca mulatta (Rhesus monkey). RNAcentral's name for it is "lncRNA (ENSMMUG00000050436.1)". Lineage: Eukaryota; Metazoa; Chordata; Mammalia; Primates; Cercopithecidae. The record is from RNAcentral.